UCAGGAGAAUCAUACUCCCAAAAGACAUCCUGUCUGCUUCUCCUUAGAUGCUGGCAGUGAUACUGGGCCAUCUUCUGUGGCUGAGCUCUGAGGGCACUGGGACCCCGUCCUCUCUGCUGCUGUUCAUGUUUUCUGUGAGUCAUUUAUCUGCAAUCCUCUGUGUAACAGCACACUCAGAAUAUAAUCUGUACUGAAUCUCCUUUGAUGCAAUAUCUAGUAAGACCACAGCUGUAUUUCAUGGAGUAUUUGAAGAAAAAGGACACUGUGACUUCUUCAGAGUGGCCCAGUUUCCUUUGUGGACUGGCUUAUUGGGGUUCCUGCUUUCACUGGACGACCUGAAGCCUCUGGAAAAUUGGGGUUAAAAAAGGAAACCUGAAGUCAGGGGACCCUCCUGAAGUUGAAGCAGAUGCAUCCAACCCUGGAGGUCGGAAGGGCGGUUGUAAGAAAAGGGGGGUGCUUUGCGCUGACAUGGUUGAGAUCCACUGCUCCUAUAGGGAAACAGCUAAGAUGUGUUGGAGGAUGCCCCCUAGUGGGUGCUUCUCAAAUAUCAUCAAGGAGUUUGGAAAUUUAUCAAGUAAUGAAAAACUAAAUAAUCAUGGAAGCAUAAAAAGAGAUAAAGAAAAUAAAAAUUCAUUGUCUAUUCACUAUUUCAAAGGAAUGAAAUACACUAUUUGAAGGAUUUAAUUGUUUCUAUCCCUAAAGAGAGAAGCUAAAUAGAAUGGAACGGGCUGCCUUUAAAAGUACCAUUGCAGGGUGCCUGGGUGGCUCAGAUGGUUAAGCGUCUGCCUUUGGCUCAGGUCAUGAUCCCAAGGUCCUGGGAUCCAGCCCCACAUCGUGCUCCCUGCUCAGCGGGAAGCCUGCUUUUCCCUCUCCCUCUACUGUUCCCCCUGUUUGUGCUC
Molecule: long non-coding RNA, 899 nt
Organism: Mirounga angustirostris (Northern elephant seal)
Lineage: Eukaryota; Metazoa; Chordata; Mammalia; Carnivora; Phocidae
Exons: 5
Source: RefSeq, a predicted model, not a curated record